UACGAAGGGGGCUAGCGUUGCUCGGAAUCACUAGGCGUAAAGGGCGCGUAGGCGGGCUAUCAAGUCUGGGGUGAAAUCCCACGGCUCAACCGUGGAACUGCCUUAGAUACUGACGGCCUUGAGGAAGGUAGGGGCAUGCGGAACUGUAGGUGGAGCGGUGAAAUGCGUUGAUAUCUACAGGAACUCCGGUGGCGAAAGCGGCGUGCUGGACCUUUUCUGACGCUGAGGCGCGAAAGCUAGGGGAGCAAACGGG
RNAcentral lists this ribosomal RNA (253 nucleotides) under uncultured bacterium. Its description in RNAcentral is "partial 16S ribosomal RNA". It matches the Rfam family "Bacterial small subunit ribosomal RNA", at positions 524 to 776 of the family's 1533-position model. The record is from RNAcentral.